GAUGAACGCUGGCGGCGUGCCUAAUACAUGCAAGUCGAGCGAACAGACGAGGAGCUUGCUCCUCUGACGUUAGCGGCGGACGGGUGAGUAACACGUGGAUAACCUACCUAUAAGACUGGGAUAACUUCGGGAAACCGGAGCUAAAACCGGAUAAUAUAUUGAACCGCAUGGUUCAAUAGUGAAAGACGGUUUUGCUGUCACUUAUAGAUGGAUCCGCGCCGCAUUAGCUAGUUGGUAAGGUAACGGCUUACCAAGGCAACGAUGCGUAGCCGACCUGAGAGGGUGAUCGGCCACACUGGAACUGAGACACGGUCCAGACUCCUACGGGAGGCGGCAGUAGGGAAUCUUCCGCAAUGGGCGAAAGCCUGACGGAGCAACGCCGCGUGAGUGAUGAAGGUCUUCGGAUCGUAAAACUCUGUUAUUAGGGAAGAACAAAUGUGUAAGUAACUAUGCACGUCUUGACGGUACCUAAUCAGAAAGCCACGGCUAACUACGUG
Molecule: ribosomal RNA, 497 nt
Filed under: uncultured bacterium
Lineage: Bacteria
Description: partial 16S ribosomal RNA
Rfam family: Bacterial small subunit ribosomal RNA
Source: RNAcentral